GAUGAAGAACGUAGCGAAAUGCGAUAAGUAGUGUGAAUUGCAGAAUUCAGUGAAUCAUCGAAUCUUUGAACGCACAUUGUGCCCCUUGGUAUCCCGAGGGGCAUGCCUGUUCGAGCGUCAUUUCACCACUCAAGCCUGGCUUGGUGUUGGGCGACGUCCCCUUUGGGGACGCGCCUCGAAACGCUCGGCGGCGUGGCACCGGCUUUAAGCGUAGCAGAAUCUUUCGCUUUGGAAGUCGGGGCCCCGUCUGCCGGAAGACCUACUCGCAAGGUUGACCUCGGAUCAGGCAGGGAUACCCGCUGAACUUAAGCAUAUCAAUAAGCGGAGGA
This 329-nucleotide unclassified non-coding RNA is filed under the name soil metagenome. RNAcentral's name for it is "partial contains 5.8S ribosomal RNA, internal transcribed spacer 2, and large subunit ribosomal RNA". The stretch from base 1 to 120 matches the Rfam family "5.8S ribosomal RNA", at positions 35 to 154 of the family's 154-position model. The record is from RNAcentral.